GGCACUAUGGCGGAGUGGUUAACGCGAUGCCCUGCUAUACCCUAUUUGGAUUAGCGUAGGCAUUCCCUUCGGGGGCGUGAGUUCGAAUCUCACUGGUGUCG
This is a transfer RNA of 101 nucleotides. It matches the Rfam family "tRNA". Rfam says of the family: Transfer RNA (tRNA) molecules are approximately 80 nucleotides in length. The record is from Rfam.